RNAcentral lists this transfer RNA (55 nucleotides) under Strongyloides ratti. RNAcentral describes it as "tRNA SRAE_M000000027". The record is from RNAcentral. Lineage: Eukaryota; Metazoa; Nematoda; Chromadorea; Rhabditida; Strongyloididae.
AAGAGUUUAGUUUAAAUUAAAAUAUUGGACUGUAAAUCUAAAGUUUUAGCUCUUG